Raphanus sativus (radish) is the source of this 536-nucleotide long non-coding RNA. RefSeq lists it as uncharacterized. The transcript is spliced from 2 exons. Lineage: Eukaryota; Viridiplantae; Streptophyta; Magnoliopsida; Brassicales; Brassicaceae. The record is from RefSeq and is a predicted model, not a curated record.
GUUGACUCAGUUCCCUUAAUCCAAGAUAUUUUGCUACCAUACAUUUUAGGGUAUUACUUGGCCUCUGCUUAGAGCUCCUCCUCGUCAAAUUCGCUUCGAAGAUGGAAGUUUCUGUAAACUAAUUUGAUUUAGAUGAUCCCCGGGGUCUUGCUUAUGAGUAUGACAACAUGGGCUUCCUUCGAUAUUCCUGCUCUCACCUACUUGGAGUAUUAUGACUUUGUUCCCAAGGAAUAUCUAACUGUUAAUCUCGGUUUCCUUGUUGAAGCUAAACUCAAUCUCUGUAUGUGUAUGAGGAAGGUUUCUGGCAAUACGAACAUGGAGAUACUUUCAAUCCCAUGAAUCUGAUUAAUGGUUUGAAAAACGUUCAGAUUUUGAACUUGACUUAUGAAACUGUGGAGGUAAAGUUUUUUUUAUUUUUACAAGCAUGAAGAUAAGUUUUUAUUAUUGCAAAUGAAUUAGCUGAUUCUUUUUUUUUUUAGUGUUUAAUGUUUUCAGAUGUUUUAUUUCUUGAGUAAAUGAAUCCCAAUGUUUGAAAA